AACUCAAAUAGGUUCAGUUGGCAAAUCAUGCUAUCAAUUAGAGAUAUAAUUUUUUAAAAUCAAAUAAAUGGAAAUUCUAGAUUGUCCCUCUAUAUAAUUUAGAGUUGAUUCACCUACCCUACCCUUCUCUUCCGGUUUAGUUCCUUGGUCUUGCAUCAAUUCCAACUAAGUCAUACGAGGUCCUAAUCCAGAAAACAUGGUGAGUGAAGCACCAAGUUGGGCAGAUCAAUGGGGUGUUGGUGCUAUUGAAUAUGAUGACAUUGACACUAGAUCCCAAAAACACACUACCGGCAAGAACAAGAAUUCAGGUGCCAAGGUUGGUUUCACCAAAGCCAAAGCAGUUGCUACAAUAGGUCUUCAAAAGAUUAAAAGUGGGGCCUCAACUUGUGUCAAAUGGAUCACAAACCACUUUAAGAGAAAGAAAAAGAGGACAUCCAUAUAAUUUGAUGGAUCCAACUUGCAUGGAAUUUUAACUUUUCUUAUUCUACCAAUAACACAAUUGCAAUACCCCCAUUUUUUGUUUUUCCUUCCAUAUUAGCAUUAUUUUGAUUACUACAAUGAAGUUGAUUAUCCCUAAUUUUCUUGUAAUGAUGAUUAAUCCAUGUCACAUGUCAUUUAUUAAUGGGUUAUUUUACGGUAACUUUCAAAUCACCGAAGCA
Cicer arietinum (chickpea) is the source of this 659-nucleotide non-coding RNA. NCBI's taxonomy places the organism in Eukaryota, Viridiplantae, Streptophyta, Magnoliopsida, Fabales, Fabaceae. The record is from RefSeq and is a predicted model, not a curated record.